GCGCCCGUAGCUCAGCGGUAGAGCACUCGGCUUUUAACCGAUUGGUCCUGCGUUCAAAUCGCAGCGGGCGCA
This 72-nucleotide transfer RNA is filed under the name bacterium. RNAcentral's name for it is "tRNA-Lys". It matches the Rfam family "tRNA". Rfam says of the family: Transfer RNA (tRNA) molecules are approximately 80 nucleotides in length. Their secondary structure includes four short double-helical elements and three loops (D, anti-codon, and T loops). Further hydrogen bonds mediate the characteristic L-shaped molecular structure. tRNAs have two regions of fundamental functional importance: the anti-codon, which is responsible for specific mRNA codon recognition, and the 3' end, to which the tRNAs corresponding amino acid is attached (by aminoacyl-tRNA synthetases). tRNAs cope with the degeneracy of the genetic code in two manners: having more than one tRNA (with a specific anti-codon) for a particular amino acid; and 'wobble' base-pairing, i.e. permitting non-standard base-pairing at the 3rd anti-codon position. The record is from RNAcentral. RNAcentral also lists the same sequence under 3 other names.